GAUGAAGAACGUAGCGAAAUGCGAUAAGUAAUGUGAAUUGCAGAAUUCAGUGAAUCAUCGAAUCUUUGAACGCACAUUGCGCCCGCCAGUAUUCUGGCGGGCAUGCCUGUUCGAGCGUCAUUUCAACCCUCAAGACCCCUUCGGGGGACUUGGUGUUGGGGACCGGCACAGGGGCCUGCCUGCUUGUCUUGCAGCGCCCUCGCCGCCCCCGAAAUGAAUUGGCGGCCUCGUCGCGGCCUCCCCUGCGUAGUAGCACAACCUCGCAACGGGAACGUGACGGCGGCCACUGCCGUAAAACAACCCCAAUUUUAUUAGAGUUGACCUCGAAUCAGGUAGGAAUACCCGCUGAACUUAAGCAUAUCAAUAAGCGGAGAA
This 375-nucleotide unclassified non-coding RNA is filed under the name soil metagenome. Its description in RNAcentral is "partial contains 5.8S ribosomal RNA, internal transcribed spacer 2, and large subunit ribosomal RNA". The stretch from base 1 to 120 matches the Rfam family "5.8S ribosomal RNA", at positions 35 to 154 of the family's 154-position model. The record is from RNAcentral.